This 204-nucleotide long non-coding RNA is filed under the name Solanum tuberosum (potato). RNAcentral describes it as "long non-coding RNA (STUB_LNC005492)". The record is from RNAcentral. Lineage: Eukaryota; Viridiplantae; Streptophyta; Magnoliopsida; Solanales; Solanaceae.
UAAGCUAACAGGGGGAACACAUGAUAAUGAAAUAUAAGGCAAUUGUAAAUACGAAUAGGCAAAAGAAAAGAAUAUCCUUGAAGGAUGACAUUGUUGAACAAUAGCACAAAACAAGGUAAAAACACUAAAGCUAAACAACCAUUUUAACCGGAUUAAACAACCAUUUUAAACCGAAUUAAACUCAUACAAUUAACUUAAAUCUAG